ACACUAAUUCCAUUCACUCAAACAACCCUAAUUACAUCCACACCAGCUGCGCUCUCUCUCUCUCUGAAAGAAACCACUCACCUUGUAACUCAGUUUCAUUCAUCGUCGCCUCUCUUCUACCUAUCUCUCCUUCAUCAUCUCAUCGCAUCAACUGAGUAACAAAGUCACUCAAACCUCCCUCAGUCUCACCGAUGGACAACAUUGACACAGAUCUGGAAAAUAAAAUACCAGAAAAUAACUUUCAGUCACCAUAUCUUGUUGCUUUUGCUGCCAUUAUUGCCUAUACUCAGUGCUGCUAUUACUGCCUAUACUGUUAAUUUGAGGGAGCUUUGUUAGGAAAUUAAGCUGAAGGAAUUAAUACUCACUUAUGGAUGACAUUGAUAUUUAUAUGGACAAUGAAUCAACCCAAAAUUGGAAUCAUAUCUUAAACUUUGAUUGAUGUUGUGCACCCUUUGGAGUAGAUGUUGAUAGAUGAUGCAAAAUGAAGCCCAACUCAAUGGUGGCUGGUGGAGUGGCUGGUGACAGUGGCAACAAUUAUGGAAGAAUGUCAAUACCAAUUUUUGAUUUAUAAUGGGCUGUAAUAUAUUUUUAAUGGUCUGUAAAAUAUAUAAUAUAUAUCUGUAUUAUGUAGUACAACUAAGCUGAAUUUGGUGAUCAAGGUAAGGUGAUCAAGUCAAGCUUAACAAAAUAAUAUGCUAACAAAAACUGAAUGUGUGAAUGAGACCGUCAAGCAGGAUGAAUAUGAAAGUGAAAAUGGCAGUCAAGAGAAAACAGAUUUUAGCAGUUUGAAUGCUGCCAGCUUGUUGAUAUAUUUAAAUUUAUCCUUUUAUUUGA
Molecule: long non-coding RNA, 834 nt
Organism: Trifolium pratense (red clover)
Lineage: Eukaryota; Viridiplantae; Streptophyta; Magnoliopsida; Fabales; Fabaceae
Exons: 6
Source: RefSeq, a predicted model, not a curated record